This 310-nucleotide unclassified non-coding RNA is filed under the name uncultured Sordariomycetes. RNAcentral describes it as "sequence contains ITS1". The stretch from base 1 to 105 matches the Rfam family "5.8S ribosomal RNA", at positions 50 to 154 of the family's 154-position model. The record is from RNAcentral. Lineage: Eukaryota; Fungi; Ascomycota; Sordariomycetes.
GAAAUGCGAUACUUGGUGUGAAUUGCAGAAUUCAGUGAAUCAUCGAAUCUUUGAACGCACAUGGCGCCCCCCGGCAUCCCGGGGGGCAUGCCUGUCCGAGCGUCGUUUCAACCCUCGGGCCCGUUUCGUGGCCCGGUGUUGGGGACCUACACCCCACCGUAGGCCCCGAAAUAGAGUGGCGACCACGCCGUGUGCUCCUCUGCGUAGUAGUAAAUCACCUCGCAGGCGGACAGCGGUGCGGCCUGCCGUAAAACCCCCAACUCUUUCUAUGGUUGACCUCAGAUCAGGUAGGAAUACCCGCUGAACUUAA